GAUGAACGCUAGCUACAGGCUUAACACAUGCAAGUCGCGGGGCAGCAUGGGGGUUGCUUGCAAUCCCCGAUGGCGACCGGCGCACGGGUGAGUAACGCGUAUCCAACCUGCCCUUCACCACGGGAUAACCCGGCGAAAGUCGGACUAAUACCGUAUGUUGUCUAUUGACGGCAUCCGAUAUGGACGAAAGGUUUGGCGGUGAAGGAUGGGGAUGCGUCCGAUUAGCUGGUCGGAGGGGUGACGGCCCACCGUGGCGACGAGCGGUAGGGGUUCGGAGAGGAAGGUCCCCCACACUGGAACUGAGACAAGGUCCAGACUCCUACGGGAGGCAGCAGUGAGGAAUAUUGGUCAAGGGGCGUAAGCCUGAACCAGCCAAGUAGCGUGCAGGAUGACGGCACUAUGGGUUGUAAACUGCUUUUAUGCGGGGAUAAAGUGGCCCACGUGUGGGUUUGUGCAGGUACCGCAUGAAUAAGGACCGGCUAAUUCCGUG
This 490-nucleotide ribosomal RNA is filed under the name uncultured bacterium. RNAcentral's name for it is "partial 16S ribosomal RNA". It matches the Rfam family "Bacterial small subunit ribosomal RNA", at positions 28 to 507 of the family's 1533-position model. The record is from RNAcentral.